This 433-nucleotide ribosomal RNA is filed under the name uncultured bacterium. RNAcentral's name for it is "partial 16S ribosomal RNA". It matches the Rfam family "Bacterial small subunit ribosomal RNA", at positions 29 to 507 of the family's 1533-position model. The record is from RNAcentral.
AACGAACGCUGGCGGCAUGCCUAACACAUGCAAGUCGAACGAGACCUUCGGGUCUAGUGGCGCACGGGUGCGUAACGCGUGGGAACCUGCCCUUAGGUUCGGACUAACUCCCCGAAUGGGGUGCUAAUACCGGGUAAUGUCUUCGGACCAAAGAUUUAUCGCGUUUGGAUGGGCCCGAGUUGGAUUAGCUAGUUGGUAGGGUAAAAGCGUACCAAGGCGACGAUCGAUAGCUGGUCUGCGAGGCUCGUCAGCGACACUGGGGCUGAGACACGGCCCAGACUCCUACGGGAGGCAGCAGUGGGGAAUAUUGGACAGUGGGCGAAAGCCUGAUGCAGCAAGGCCGCGUGAGUGAUGAAGGCCGUAGGGUUGUAAAGCUCGUUUACCCGGGAUGAUAAUGACAGUACCGGGAGAAUAAGCUCCGGCUAACUCCGUG